RNAcentral lists this long non-coding RNA (829 nucleotides) under Solanum tuberosum (potato). RNAcentral describes it as "long non-coding RNA (STUB_LNC005973)". Lineage: Eukaryota; Viridiplantae; Streptophyta; Magnoliopsida; Solanales; Solanaceae. The record is from RNAcentral.
UGGCAUCAUGGACAAAAUUUCAAGUUUUUAACAAGUUGACUUUUGGCCUUGAAGAACGUCCGUGGAGUAAACUGGAGCCAAAAGUUCAAGACCACAAAUUUUCAAGAUUAUUGGGUUUAAUUUCCAAUACAAAAAAUAUAUAUAUUUAACUAGAGAGGGGUAAAAGGGUGCAUAGGGGCCUAUUAUCCAAAAGAAAAACAUUCUCAAAAUAAUACAUAUCAUCGAUGAAGGGUGUUAAUUAGUUGAUCACCCUUCAAUCUAUAUAGCUAUAUCAUUUGCGGCCAUACUCAUGCUGAAUCCACCGGCUCUAGAUUAUUAUGAUAAUACUCGUAUUGAACCACCAACUCUAAAUCCUAGAUCCAACUCUACCUCAAUAAGGGACAAUAAUAUUGAAGUUUAGUAUGAGAGGAUUUUCUUUUUUGUUUUGAUUGGUUUGUUAUGUUCUCAUGUUUAGACCAAACAAACAAAAAAUGUACAAAAAAGCCAAAAAACAUAAAAUAAAAUAUUUUUUCUCUAGACAAGCAUGCAUGAUAAACUCCACCCAAAGGGAAAAAGUGCAAAUUAAUUAGAAGUACUCACUAAUAUUACUUGAGAUGGAAUUUUGUUGUUGGAUGGCAAUUCUUGGAUCAAACUGGCUAAAAAAACAAUUGAAUUUUUCACUAUAUAGAAUAAUGAUAAGAACAAUAAAGGGUAAUAAUAUUAAGAGGAAAUAAGAAAUACGAAUUUUCCUGAGAAAAUAAGAGGAAAAAUAAAAAGAAGAUGAAGGUGGCUUCAUUUUUUUUUGUUUUUAUUGGUUUAUUUGAUGCCUUUUGUAGCCACAUCUUUUUUU